UCGAGAAUCAUUCGCAAUGGGCGCAAGCCUGACGGUGCGACGUCGCGUGGAGGAUGAAGGUCUUCGGAUUGUAAACUCCUGUCAUGUGGGAUAAAUGGCCAGGGCAUGAAUAGUGCCUUGGAAUGAUAGUACCACAGGAGGAAGGGACGGCUAACUCUGUGCCAGCAGCCGCGGUAAUUCAGAGGUCCCGAGCGUUGUUCGGAUUUACUGGGCGUAAAGGGAGCGUAGGCGGUUUGGUGUGUCGAAUGUGAAAGCCCACAACUCAACUGUAGAAUGGCAUUCGAAACUACUGAUCUAGAGUACUGGAGAGGAGAGCGGAAUUCUUGGUGUAGCGGUGAAAUGCGUAGAUAUCAAGAGGAACACCGGUGGCGAAGGCGGCUCUCUGGACAGAUACUGACGCUGAGGCUCUAAAGGUAGGGGAGCAAACAG
RNAcentral lists this ribosomal RNA (429 nucleotides) under uncultured bacterium. Its description in RNAcentral is "bacterial SSU rRNA". It matches the Rfam family "Bacterial small subunit ribosomal RNA", at positions 355 to 775 of the family's 1533-position model. The record is from RNAcentral.